RNAcentral lists this ribosomal RNA (610 nucleotides) under uncultured bacterium. Its description in RNAcentral is "bacterial SSU rRNA". It matches the Rfam family "Bacterial small subunit ribosomal RNA", at positions 338 to 951 of the family's 1533-position model. The record is from RNAcentral.
CCUACGGGAGGCAGCAGUGAGGAAUAUUGGACAAUGGGCGCAAGCCUGAUCCAGCCAUGCCGCGUGCAGGAAGAAGCAUCUAUGGUGUGUAAACUGCUUUUGUACAGGAAGAAACACUCCCUCGUGAGGGAGCUUGACGGUACUGUAAGAAUAAGGACCGGCUAACUCCGUGCCAGCAGCCGCGGUAAUACGGAGGGUCCGAGCGUUAUCCGGAAUCAUUGGGUUUAAAGGGUCCGUAGGCGGUUUAAUAAGUCAGUGGUGAAAUCUGGUCGCUCAACGAUCAAACGGCCAUUGAUACUGUUAGACUUGAAUUAUAAGGAAGUAACUAGAAUAUGUAGUGUAGCGGUGAAAUGCUUAGAUAUUACAUGGAAUACCAAUUGCGAAGGCAGGUUACUACUUAUGGAUUGACGCUGAUGGACGAAAGCGUGGGGAGCGAACAGGAUUAGAUACCCUGGUAGUCCACGCCGUAAACGAUGGAUACUAGCUGUUCGGAGCAAUCUGAGUGGCUAAGCGAAAGUGAUAAGUAUCCCACCUGGGGAGUACGUUCGCAAGAAUGAAACUCAAAGGAAUUGACGGNUGAGAGAGACGACGACGACGACGAGGGAGGAGG